This 494-nucleotide ribosomal RNA is filed under the name uncultured bacterium. RNAcentral describes it as "bacterial SSU rRNA". It matches the Rfam family "Bacterial small subunit ribosomal RNA", at positions 29 to 523 of the family's 1533-position model. The record is from RNAcentral.
AGCGAACGUUUGCGGCGGGCCUAACACAUGCAAGUCGAACGCACUAGCAAUAGUGAGUGGCGCACGGGUGCGUAACACGUGGGUAAUCAACCCUUCAGCUUGGGAUAACGACUUGAAAGGGUCGCUAAUACCGGAUACGGCGCGGGAGGCUUCGGCUUCUCACGAGAAAGCCUCGCAAGGGGCACUGAAGGACGAGCCUGCGGCCCAUCAGCUAGUUGGUGAGGUAAGAGCUCACCAAGGCGAAGACGGGUAGCUGGUCUGAGAGGAUGAUCAGCCACACUGGAACUGAGACACGGUCCAGACUCCUACGGGAGGCAGCAGUGGGGAAUAUUGCGCAAUGGGCGAAAGCCUGACGCAGCCACGCCGCGUGAGCGAUGAAGGCCUUCGGGUCGUAAAGCUCUGUGGGGAGAGACGAAGAAAGCCCGUGAAGAGCGGGCCGUUGACGGUAUCUCCUUAGCAAGCACCGGCUAACUCCGUGCCAGCAGCCGCGGUAA